RNAcentral lists this ribosomal RNA (496 nucleotides) under uncultured bacterium. RNAcentral's name for it is "partial 16S ribosomal RNA". It matches the Rfam family "Bacterial small subunit ribosomal RNA", at positions 28 to 506 of the family's 1533-position model. The record is from RNAcentral.
GAUGAACGCUGGCGGCGUGCCUAAUACAUGCAAGUCGAGCGAACAGAUGAGGAGCUUGCUCCUCUGACGUUAGCGGCGGACGGGUGAGUAACACGUGGAUAACCUACCUAUAGGACUGGGAUAACUUCGGGAAACCGGAGCUAAUACCGGAUAAUAUAUUGAACCGCAUGGUUCAAUAGUGAAAGACGGUUUUGCUGCCACUUAUAGAUGGAUCCGCGCCGCAUUAGCUAGUUGGUAAGGUAACGGCUUACCAAGGCAACGAUGCGUAGCCGACCUGAGAGGGUGAUCGGCCACAAUGGAACUGAGACACGGUCCAGACUCCUACGGGAGGCAGCAGUAGGGAAUCUUCCGCAAUGGGCGAAAGCCUGACGGAGCAACGCCGCGUGAGUGAUGAAGGUCUUCGGAUCGUAAAACUCUGUUAUUAGGGAAGAACAAAUGUGUAAGUAACUAUGCACGUCUUGACGGUACCUAAUCAGAAAGCCACGGCUAACUACGU